GUGGCAUUUAUAGAGCGGCACUUAUACUAAAAUUGGAAUGAUACAGAGAAGAUUAGCAUGGCCCCAGCUCAAGGAUGACAUGCAAAUUCAUCAAGCGUUCUAUAUUUUU
RNAcentral lists this small nuclear RNA (109 nucleotides) under Ornithorhynchus anatinus (platypus). The record is from RNAcentral. Lineage: Eukaryota; Metazoa; Chordata; Mammalia; Monotremata; Ornithorhynchidae.